RNAcentral lists this transfer RNA (67 nucleotides) under Dipodomys ordii (Ord's kangaroo rat). It matches the Rfam family "tRNA". From Rfam's summary of the family: Transfer RNA (tRNA) molecules are approximately 80 nucleotides in length. Their secondary structure includes four short double-helical elements and three loops (D, anti-codon, and T loops). Further hydrogen bonds mediate the characteristic L-shaped molecular structure. tRNAs have two regions of fundamental functional importance: the anti-codon, which is responsible for specific mRNA codon recognition, and the 3' end, to which the tRNAs corresponding amino acid is attached (by aminoacyl-tRNA synthetases). tRNAs cope with the degeneracy of the genetic code in two manners: having more than one tRNA (with a specific anti-codon) for a particular amino acid; and 'wobble' base-pairing, i.e. permitting non-standard base-pairing at the 3rd anti-codon position. The record is from Rfam by way of RNAcentral. Lineage: Eukaryota; Metazoa; Chordata; Mammalia; Rodentia; Heteromyidae.
GGGAAGGUGGCUCAGUGAUAGAGCACUUGCCUUGCAUGCAUGAGGCCCGGCACUUCUGGCUUUUUUU